CCUACGGGAGGCAGCAGUAGGGAAUAUUGCUCAAUGGGGGAAACCCUGAAGCAGCAACGCCGCGUGGAGGAUGAAGGUUCUCGGAUUGUAAACCCCUUUUGUUAGAGAAGAUAAUGACGGUAUCUAACGAAUAAGCACCGGCUAACUCCGUGCCAGCAGCCGCGGUAAUACGGAGGGUGCAAGCGUUACUCGGAAUCACUGGGCGGAAAGAGCGCGGAGGCGGGAUAGCAAGUCAGAUGUGAAAACCUAUGGCUUAACCAUAGAACUGCAUUUGAAACUGUUAUUCUAGAGUAUGGGAGAGGUAGGUGGAAUGCUUGGUGUAGGGGUGAAAUGCGUAGAGAUCAAGAGGAAUACUGAUUGCGAAGGCGACCUGCUAGAGCAUAACUGACGCUGAUGCGCGAAAGCGUGGGGAGCAAACAGGAUUAGAUACCCCAGUAGUC
RNAcentral lists this ribosomal RNA (440 nucleotides) under uncultured bacterium. Its description in RNAcentral is "partial 16S ribosomal RNA". It matches the Rfam family "Bacterial small subunit ribosomal RNA", at positions 338 to 795 of the family's 1533-position model. The record is from RNAcentral.